CGGGACGUGGCGCAGCCAGGUAGCGCACCUGCUUUGGGAGCAGGGGGUCGCCGGUUCAAAUCCGGCCGUCCCGACCA
This 77-nucleotide transfer RNA is filed under the name Acidimicrobiaceae bacterium. Its description in RNAcentral is "tRNA-Pro". It matches the Rfam family "tRNA". Rfam says of the family: Transfer RNA (tRNA) molecules are approximately 80 nucleotides in length. Lineage: Bacteria; Bacillati; Actinomycetota; Acidimicrobiia; Acidimicrobiales; Acidimicrobiaceae. The record is from RNAcentral.